AAUUAGGGAUUAUCAGAGUCCCAAAUUACAUGCAGCUGCCAGAUCUCUUUGUCCAGAGGGAUCAAGGAGAUUUCUUGGUCUCCCCCUGCGCACCCCCACCCCUCCCGUGUGCUGUCAGAGCAGCUUCGAGUCCGCUCUGCGAACUUUAGCAGGGUCCUGCCCAAGCGACUCUGCUCCAAGAGCAGGAACAAGACCCCAAUCUCCGACUGCCGGUCCAGAGCUCCAGUUCGACAAUGGGGUGUGUGCACUUUGCAGCCAAUGCUGAGGAAGCCGAGGUUCAGAAGAGUUUGGUAGCUUGCCCAAGGUCACCCAGCAAGGAGGCCAGCAUCAGGACUGUAGCCUUUGGACUGUCCCCAACUGCCUGGACCCUGGCAGUUCUGCAGCCUGGCCAACAAAGCUGAAGCCUGCUGAGAAGUCGGGAUAACCCCCGGGCCAGAGGCUGUGUGCAGCCUGUGAGGGACACACAGCAUCUGGACUCCAGGUGCCCUGGGGUCACUGCUCCCAGAACAACUCCUGGGCAGGAGCCGGUCCUUGAUUGGCCUCUACAGUUGAAGCAUCCGUGGGUGUCCCUGCCGAGAGGACAAGGACACUGAGGGCAGUUGGGGCCAAAACAGCCCUUAUAAGCAGCCUCAGGCUCUCCCUGAGGGAUUGGCUCCCUUCCUGUCCCUCGGGGGUUCGAGAUCACAGACCCAGCUGAGGCCUGUGGGGAGGUAGCACAAGGCUUUCAGUUCUUAAUACUUAGACUUGGGGAAAAUUCACCUGCAAAACCACAAGCAGGAGAACAGUGCAAAUGGGGGGGUUCAGCAAAAUUUUGCU
This 816-nucleotide long non-coding RNA is filed under the name Equus caballus (horse). RNAcentral describes it as "lncRNA (ENSECAG00000047494.1)". Lineage: Eukaryota; Metazoa; Chordata; Mammalia; Perissodactyla; Equidae. The record is from RNAcentral.